This 214-nucleotide long non-coding RNA is filed under the name Homo sapiens (human). RNAcentral describes it as "HSALNT0369747". Lineage: Eukaryota; Metazoa; Chordata; Mammalia; Primates; Hominidae. The record is from RNAcentral.
UAGCUCCUCCUUCCCGCUUCAGCAGGUCCAGGCUCUGCGCCAGUGCAUCCUUCUCCAAGAGUGCGCUGCCUGGGCCCGCUUGCCCUGGAGUUAACUUCAGCAGUCAACGGAGAGAAGAGUGGAAACCUUACUGGAUGCGGACAGGAGAGCCAGUUACUGAAAGCAGAUAUAACGCGGAUCCUGUAAAGAGUGGUGUGUAUCCAAAAAAAAAAAA